This 107-nucleotide small nuclear RNA is filed under the name Cavia porcellus (domestic guinea pig). The record is from RNAcentral. Lineage: Eukaryota; Metazoa; Chordata; Mammalia; Rodentia; Caviidae.
GUGCUUUCUUCAGUAGUGUUUGUACAGCAUUUGGAAUGAUGCUGAGAUGAGUAACAUGGUCUCUGUGCAAGGGUGACAUGCGAAUUUAUGCAGCAUCCCAUUAAAUA